Molecule: long non-coding RNA, 306 nt
Filed under: Brassica rapa (field mustard)
Lineage: Eukaryota; Viridiplantae; Streptophyta; Magnoliopsida; Brassicales; Brassicaceae
Description: long non-coding RNA (BRAP_LNC008652)
Source: RNAcentral
GAACGGAAGCGACGCGGCUCCAGGCUCGGAUGAGGCAGCGGGUGAAGAGGGGGCGUAAGUUCUGAGGGUGACUUGGGUUAGAUCUCUUGCGAGAGAUUUUUUUUAUGUUUUUAUGUUUCGGCCUUGAAUGGCCUUGUUUGUAUUUCGGGACUGGCCGUGUGUGGCUUUGAAUCCCUGCCGCUCCGCGGCUUUCUUUCUAUAGUACGAUAAUCGGAUAAUGCUUUUUAUGAGUUCGUGAAUAGUGGGGAGGAAGGUGAUGAGUUGUCGUCUCAUAUCCUUCUUCGAUUGUGAAAUGUCUCAUUCGAG